This 699-nucleotide unclassified non-coding RNA is filed under the name Hevea brasiliensis (rubber tree). The record is from RNAcentral. Lineage: Eukaryota; Viridiplantae; Streptophyta; Magnoliopsida; Malpighiales; Euphorbiaceae.
GAUCUACUGCAGCCGCUCUUUCCUGGCGAAAAUGCAGUAGAUCAACUGGUGGAGAUCAUCAAGGUCCUUGGUACUCCUACUCGGGAAGAAAUUCGAUGUAUGAACCCAAACUACACAGAUUUCAGAUUCCCACAGAUAAAAGCUCAUCCUUGGCACAAGGUAUUCCAUAAAAGAAUGCCUCCUGAAGCAAUUGAUCUUGCCUCACGGCUUCUUCAAUAUUCACCAAGUCUUCGCUGUACUGCACUAGAAGCAUGUGCACAUUCGUUCUUUGAUGAGCUUCGUGAGCCCAAUGCCCGUCUCCCUAAUGGACGUCCAUUUCCACCUCUUUUCAACUUUAAACAAGAGUUAACUGGAGCUUCACCUGAUUUGGUCAACAAGCUGAUCCCUGAGCAUGUGUGGAGGCAACUUGGUUUGAAUUUCCCAUUUCCUGGUGCGACGUAAUUGUACUAAUGUAAUAUAGAGUUGGUGUAUCAGAAAAAAUAUAUAGGGAGUCCUUGUGGAUUAAUGUAACCAUGCAUUUUGGCGUAACCAGUGGCUAUGCACGCAUGUAAAAGUUGUAUGCAUAUAGCCGCUGUUUGGCUUACAAGAAGUGAUCCUGUCUCUACUUGUGUCCUCUUUUAGCUAAUAGCAGACCUGUUGCCUCUUUUGUACAUUGUUUUUGAUAAGAAGAAUUCAGAUAGGAGUAUAAAGUGAUAAAUA